GUGUAGUGGCGGACGGGUUAGUAACGCGUGGGAACGUGCCCUUCUCUACGGAAUAGCCUCGGGAAACUGGGUUUAAUACCGUAUACGCCCUUCGGGGGAAAGAUUUAUCGGAGAAGGAUCGGCCCGCGUAAGAUUAGAUAGUUGGUGGGGUAAUGGCCUACCAAGUCUACGAUCUUUAGCUGGUUUGAGAGGAUGAUCAGCAACACUGGGACUGAGACACGGCCCAGACUCCUACGGGAGGCAGCAGUGAGGAAUCUUGCGCAAUGGGCGAAAGCCUGACGCAGCCACGCCGCGUGCCGGAUGAAGGCCCUAUGGGUUGUAAACGGCUUUUGAGGGGGAAGAACGACCGGGUUUCGAUCUGGUGUGACGGUACCCCUUGAAUAAGCACCGGCUAACUCCGUGCCAGCAGCCGCGGUAAUACGGAGGGUGCAAGCGUUGCUCGGAAUCACUGGGCGUAAAGCGUACGCAGGCGGUUUAUCAAGUCGGGUGUGAAAUCCCGGAGCUCAACUCCGGAACUGCGCCCGAAACUGGUAGACUUGAAUACGGGAGAGGUAAGCGGAAUUCCUGGUGUAGAGGUGAAAUUCGUAGAUAUCAGGAGGAACACCAGUGGCGAAAGCGGCUUACUGGCCCGAUAUUGACGCUCAUGUACGAAAGCG
RNAcentral lists this ribosomal RNA (656 nucleotides) under Ochromonas sp. CCMP1393. Its description in RNAcentral is "partial Bacterial small subunit ribosomal RNA". It matches the Rfam family "Bacterial small subunit ribosomal RNA", at positions 90 to 761 of the family's 1533-position model. Lineage: Eukaryota; Chrysophyceae; Chromulinales; Chromulinaceae. The record is from RNAcentral.